This 354-nucleotide transfer-messenger RNA is filed under the name Acidobacteriaceae bacterium. It matches the Rfam family "transfer-messenger RNA". Rfam says of the family: Bacterial tmRNA, also known as 10Sa RNA or SsrA, is named for its dual tRNA and mRNA-like properties. Its role is to liberate the mRNA from a stalled ribosome. The record is from RNAcentral. Lineage: Bacteria; Pseudomonadati; Acidobacteriota; Terriglobia; Terriglobales; Acidobacteriaceae.
GGGGGCGUCACGGCUUCGACGGGAUUGCUUGCGGUAAAGAGGCAUGCCGGGGUGUGGACACCCGUAAUCGCUCACAAAAACACAAGUGCCGAACCUCAAUUCGCACUCGCUGCUUAAUUAAAUAAGUAGCCGAUCACUCGGGCUUUGCCUAUGGGCCCGUACUGGUCGUCGCACAGUAGGCUGGUCUGCGGUGCCCCGCCUGAGCGCCAAGGAUGAGAUCGAUCAGGCUGGUGACUGACGCGUCUUCGCCCAUUUUUAGCGUCAGUUACGAGACAAAUGUGAACUGGGAAAAGCAUGAAUGCUCUUUACUGACUGUAGUUUCGGACGUGGGUUCGACUCCCACCGCCUCCACCA